GCUCCCAUGGUGGUCACUACGCUCGCCUUGCACGCGGGAAACCCGGGUUCGAUUCCCGGUGUGGUCA
Molecule: transfer RNA, 67 nt
Filed under: Diaphorina citri (Asian citrus psyllid)
Lineage: Eukaryota; Metazoa; Arthropoda; Insecta; Hemiptera; Psyllidae
Rfam family: tRNA
About the family: Transfer RNA (tRNA) molecules are approximately 80 nucleotides in length. Their secondary structure includes four short double-helical elements and three loops (D, anti-codon, and T loops). Further hydrogen bonds mediate the characteristic L-shaped molecular structure. tRNAs have two regions of fundamental functional importance: the anti-codon, which is responsible for specific mRNA codon recognition, and the 3' end, to which the tRNAs corresponding amino acid is attached (by aminoacyl-tRNA synthetases). tRNAs cope with the degeneracy of the genetic code in two manners: having more than one tRNA (with a specific anti-codon) for a particular amino acid; and 'wobble' base-pairing, i.e. permitting non-standard base-pairing at the 3rd anti-codon position.
Source: Rfam by way of RNAcentral